This 920-nucleotide ribosomal RNA is filed under the name uncultured bacterium. RNAcentral describes it as "bacterial SSU rRNA". It matches the Rfam family "Bacterial small subunit ribosomal RNA", at positions 33 to 944 of the family's 1533-position model. The record is from RNAcentral.
ACGCUAGCUACAGGCUUAACACAUGCGAGUCGAGGGGAAACGGCAUUAAGUGCUUGCACUUUUUGGACGUCGACCGGCGCACGGGUGAGUAACGCGUAUCCAACCUUCCCAUGACUAAGGGAUAACCUGCCGAAAGGCAGACUAAUACCUUAUGGUCUUCACUGACGGCAUCAGAUGUGAAGUAAAGAUUUAUCGGUUAUGGAUGGGGAUGCGUCUGAUUAGUUAGUUGGCGGGGUAACGGCCCACCAAGGCAACGAUCAGUAGGGGUUCUGAGAGGAAGGUCCCCCACAUUGGAACUGAGACACGGUCCAAACUCCUACGGGAGGCAGCAGUGAGGAAUAUUGGUCAAUGGGCGAGAGCCUGAACCAGCCAAGUAGCGUGCAGGAUGACGGCCCUAUGGGUUGUAAACUGCUUUUGUAUGGGGAUAAAGUCAAUCACGUGUGAUUGUUUGCAGGUACCAUACGAAUAAGGACCGGCUAAUUCCGUGCCAGCAGCCGCGGUAAUACGGAAGGUCCGGGCGUUAUCCGGAUUUAUUGGGUUUAAAGGGAGCGUAGGCUGGAGAUUAAGUGUGUUGUGAAAUGUAGACGCUCAACGUCUGACUUGCAGCGCAUACUGGUUUCCUUGAGUACGCACAACGUUGGCGGAAUUCGUCGUGUAGCGGUGAAAUGCUUAGAUAUGACGAAGAACUCCGAUUGCGAAGGCAGCUGACGGGAGCGCAACUGACGCUGAAGCUCGAAGGUGCGGGUAUCGAACAGGAUUAGAUACCCUGGUAGUCCGCACAGUAAACGAUGGAUGCCCGCUGUUGGUACUUGGUAUCAGCGGCUAAGCGAAAGCAUUAAGCAUCCCACCUGGGGAGUACGCCGGCAACGGUGAAACUCAAAGGAAUUGACGGGGGCCCGCACAAGCGGAGGAACAUGUGG